This 73-nucleotide transfer RNA is filed under the name Clostridium sp. CAG:678. It matches the Rfam family "tRNA". Rfam says of the family: Transfer RNA (tRNA) molecules are approximately 80 nucleotides in length. Their secondary structure includes four short double-helical elements and three loops (D, anti-codon, and T loops). The record is from Rfam by way of RNAcentral. Lineage: Bacteria; Bacillati; Bacillota; Clostridia; Eubacteriales; Clostridiaceae.
GCUGGAAUAGCACAAUUGGCAGUGCAAUCGCCCUGUGGGCAAUAGGUUGUAAGUUCGAGUCUUACUUUCAGCA